This 332-nucleotide unclassified non-coding RNA is filed under the name soil metagenome. Its description in RNAcentral is "partial contains 5.8S ribosomal RNA, internal transcribed spacer 2, and large subunit ribosomal RNA". The stretch from base 1 to 120 matches the Rfam family "5.8S ribosomal RNA", at positions 35 to 154 of the family's 154-position model. The record is from RNAcentral.
GAUGAAGAACGUAGCAAAAUGCGAUAAGUAAUGUGAAUUGCAGAAUUCAGUGAAUCAUCGAAUCUUUGAACGCUCAUUGCGCCCGCCAGUAUUCUGGCGGGCAUGCCUGUUCGAGCGUCAUUUCAACCCUCAAGCACAGCUUGGUGUUGGGACUCGCGUUAAUUCGCGUUCCCCAAAUUGAUUGGCGGUCACGUCGAGCUUCCAUAGCGUAGUAGUAAAACCCUCGUUACUGGUAAUCGUCGCGGCCACGCCGUUAAACCCCAACUUCUGAAUGUUGACCUCGGAUCAGGUAGGAAUACCCGCUGAACUUAAGCAUAUCAAUAAGCGGAGGA